AAAGAACUCUCCGUCACCAAUGUUCUGCAUCAUCUUCGUCGCUGCAGGCACAUCUGGGAUCAGACCAUUGCUGCUCUCAACUGCUCUGCAGCACAGAAUCGGCAUCUGGCUGACAGGAAGAGGAUCAGGACCAGCCGGGUCAAAAGGCAAGCAAAUAUGUAUGAACAUUAGCAUACUGCACAACAGAGAAAGAAAGUGGUUUUCCUGAAAGCAGGCAGAGUGAUGUGGAAAAGAGAACAAAGUCAAGGUCAGUGUUAGAUAGAGAGCACCCUCCUAUCUCUGUUUUUCCUUGCAUUCCAAAUCAAACACACACACAUGGCUAUGUCUGCCCAGUUUGGUGGCCAUGGAAUGAGGUGUCACAUUUGAUUGCCAGGGGUAAGACAAGCUCAUUAGUACUUUCUAGCCUGUAGAUAAAGUGUCAGAAACUGAUUCCUGAAUAUGCAGCUCAUUCUGUUAAAUCAACAGGCUACAUGUGUUUUUAGUGUUUGAUUUAGGGACUAUAAAAAGGAAUAUUUUUAGACACAAUUUAAUAUAGUCUAUAGGCAAAACAACAAAAAUUGAGGAUUUGUCUCAAGAUUAACCUGCACUAGCACAGCUCAAUGACAUGUGGUUGGGGGCGAUGUUAUACCACCCGAUAAAGCACUGCACUGUGAAAAUGAAGAUGGCUCAGGAGUUCCAGGACAGCCGAACUGAUAGAGUGUUAAUUCUGUACAGAAUGACAUAAGACAGUUCAGCAGCAGGAAAAGCAUCAGUUCACGUUCAUCCAUAACAGCUAGGAAAGGUUUGGACUUAUAUGGCAACAUUCAACAUUAAAUGCUAAUACAAAUAAUCAUGUUACAUGUUUUAAAUCUGGACAAAACAAAUAAUAAAAGAAACUCAAACCACCAGCUGACAUCUUUGGUGUUAAAUAAAUGAAAUGCAUAACAAUGUGCAUAUUGUGAUAGAUGUAAAACUCUAAAAAUGAACAAAAAAGUUAAAUAAAAAGACAGGUGGGUAACAACAUACCUGCACACUAUGGAAAUAGACAGUUCACCUGCAUGAAAAACACCCAGCCAACAUCAGUUCACCUGCCCAUGACAAAGGAACCACAUAAAAAAACGCUGCACGUGAGCAGAGCAGUUGGCUCGUUCACACAUGUGCUGCAACAAAAAGGUCUUCCUCAACAAAACAUUCCGUCCUCUGCUAAAUUGCAUAAAAAACUUAAACAUUUUACAAACACAUUGGCUAAAAUAUAGUAAAGCAUUUUGUGAACUACAGCAACUUUUAGAUAGUAUAUUAACAGCAGCUCCUGGGAAAACAUUUCCUUCUUCCAUAACACCCAGGAAUAGUCUGGUGAAGGAGAAAGUGGAGUCAUGGGUUACAACUGCAAAAGUAAAACUAAACUUUCCCAAAAUUAUUAUAUACAUAUUAUAUAUAUAUAUAUAAUUUUAAGAUACAAAUGAAAGACAAUUAAGAAAAAAGAUACACAAAAUUAACAAGUGAGAUAUUUUUGGUGGAAUAUGUUAGGUUUUCUUUCUUCCAUGCUAUACACAUGUACACAAACACAAGUUUGUAUUUAUUAGGACUUUGUACUGACUUCCAUUCAUUUUAGUAACAGCAUGCCUAACCCAGACAUUUUCCAUAACCCUAACUAUUAUUAGUCUAUUUGUAGCCCUUCACAUUAUACCUCCCCAUAAAGCCCAUCAAUCUUUGGGUUAGUAUUCAGAAAUGGCCCUAAAUAGGAUAAGCUAGACAAGUGCACGCGCGCACACACACACGCACGCACGCACCACACACACACCCACACACACACACAGAGAGAGGAAAAAAAGACACUCAUAAUAAUUACAAGAAAACUGACGAAGUUUUAUGAGUUUUCCUUUAUGUCGUAAAUCCCAGUAAUACUAAUAGGUAGCCUGAACCAACCAUUAAGUGAAAGAAAAGUUUUUGUAACAUCACACAGAAUGUAUUUUCUAAAAGUAGAAAUGGAUGGAUGGAUGAAUAAAAUCCAUCCAUCCAUCGUCUUACACACUUAUCCCUAGUGUGGUCGCAAGGAGUGCUGAUGCUUGUCUCCAGCGGUCAACGGACGAGAGUCAGGGUACACCCUGGAUAAGUAGCCAGUCUAUCACAUAGGGUAUGAAACUGAUAAUCAAAACGUUACUUAUAAUGGUGAUGCAACAAAGUCUCAACACACAGGCUACUUGUGACCUCUUACACUACAUUGAGAAAGCAAGUCUUAACGCUCAACAUAAUCAACCUUGAGGAACUAAUCACGUUCCUCAAGGGUGGUGUUUUUAAAUCACAAACCAAAAUGCCGGAGAGUGCAACUAGCCCAGACCAGCCCAGACCUCGAGUUCGUGACAAGCGGCUGCACGGCAAGGUCCUGUGACGUCGUUUUCGUGCAGGCCCUGUUACUUUUCUUCACAAGAGGGUGUAAGGGUUCAUUUAAUGCCUCAACCAGAUAAUGGUUCAUUUUGUGUUUCGGAGAGGGAGCCUGAGGAAUUUUUUAGUCUGAAGUGUGUUUCAGUGGGCCAACAUUAUGGAAGUAUAAAAUCUCAUUUCUCAUCUCUCCUGUUAGACUGCAACUUUUCAACCUAGCCUCGACAGUAACAAGUUAACUUGGUAAACAUGUUGAAUGUAGUCACAGAAGAGAUACAACAUACAAACAUCAUAAUUGCAAUCUUUUUGAGUCAUGUAGUAAAAAUAGACAUUAUUUUUAAAUAGCAGUAGUUCAAAAUAAAAGCUUUUUGUUUUAAUUUUAUCUUUUGUCAGUAUUCUCUCCAGGUUAACACCCAAGUUGAAGGAUGUAAGUGAAAAUGCAAGAUCUGAAUGGAAGGCUUCUCAGACCCUAUCACCUGGUGGAUGUUUUGCUGUGGCAAUAGUGGAAUGAGUGGAAGCUCUUAGACUUUGAGAGGUACGACAUUGACAGGCAUUGGGGUGGAGGGAGCUGCCUACUCUUAUUCUCAAUUCAGAGCAAAUGUACAACUUGUUCUCCUUCAUUAACCUCCUUUACCUGUGAAUUUGCCAGUUUAAAACUGAGGAUUUAAAAUGGGGGUUUGGCACAUGCUAUAGUCAGACAAUCUCCCUGUAGAGAAAAACUUUUAAGAAAUGUCAAUUCACAAAAAACUUAAAGGAAGCAGAGCUGUGUUUAAAAGUUAUUAGCACACAAGCAAAUAAUCUGAUUUUGUACAUGGUUAGCAAAUGAAACCAAAUAUCAAAAUGUAAAAAUAUAAACUUUACAUUUAUGUUUAACUGUGAAUAUGUUUUUUUUUUCAAUAGUCAAGUCAGGCUAAAUAUAAAGUAAAUAAAAGUAGGCUUUUGUUCUGCACAAUAGAAUGCUCAUCAACUGAAACCCUUUUUGAUGCCCACUCAAGUUAAUUGAUGCAACUUCAACACAAUCUAAAGAUUGCACUAGAAACACUUUGCAUCAGUCUAUAGGUCAGAGUUAUACCACAAACUCUUAUCACAAAAUUAUCUUAUUUUCAAAUACUCCUAUGCAAAGCUGCUUUCACAAAGGAGUUAGAGUGCACUUCACUCUGAAAGGUGCAAGAGCUUAAAUUAGCAAUUUGCAACAAGCCACAAAUAAUUUAAUGAAUGAUAUGCUGUUGACAAACUUAUGACUUGCUAACAUGGCAAUCCCUGAUGCCAGAGUGAAUUGAUGGUAAAGAAUGCCCGAGGUGUUGAUUGGAGUCAUAUGACAAAGAAUCACGUAAAACUAAAGUCACACAUUUAAUGGCCUUGAAGUUCACUUCAUAAAAGACUUUGAACUUGACUUGAAAUUUCACACCAAGGGCUUAUGACUUAACUUUGAGUGGUAAUGACUUCCUCUACUAAAACAAAGAUGUAUUCCAAAUGAAAAGUAUCGAACAAACAAAAAAUUUGCAAGCGGCACAAUCGACACUGCUGUACAUUUACCAAUAUUUUCUCCUCUUGUUGCUACAACAAGCGUGCUGCAUCUACCCUGUUCCCUGUUGUGUACCUGCUUUUCUUCCACAUCCUAGGACUCCAGAGAAGUCCUGUCUUUGGGCACUCAACACACCUGAGUCAAAUAAUGAGGUCGUUAGCAGGACUCUGGAGAACCUGACUGCACUGAGGAGGUGGUUCAGCUAUUGGAUCUAGGUGUAUGCUACCAGGCAGACAUAUAAGAGUUGCAGGACACUGGCCCUCGAGGACCAGGAUUGCCCACCCCUGGUCUACCUGCAGGUGCAGUCAACUACCAAAUAUGCCCCAUAUAAAACUCACCUCCCUGUUGCUUGAUGAUGGUCUAACUCAGGGGUGGGCAACUCCAGGUCUGGAGGGUCGGUCUCCUGCAACUUUUAGAUGCAUCUCAACUUCAACACACCUGAGUCAAAUAAUAAGGUCGUUUGCAGGACUCUGGAGAAUCUGACUGCACUAAGGAGGCGAUUCAGCUAUUGGAUUCAAGUGGGUUGGACCAGGGAGACAUCUAAGAGUUGCAGGACACCGGCCCUCGAGGACCAGGAUUACCCACCCCUGGUCUAACUAGUUAACUGCUAAGUUGGGAUGUCAUACAGCUGUUAAUGUGUCAAGGCUCUGGGCUUUUGGGUUUGGUUUUGUGUUCUGUGUUUUUAUUGUUUCUCUUUUUAUUAGUUAUGUUUUAGUUCACCUUUUUGAUUGAUUUUUUUUAGAACGUUCUCAUUUUACUGAAGGUUUAGUUAUUAUUUUAUGUCUGAGUCUAUGUCUAUCGUUCUUUAGUAAUUCGAGUUAGGUUAUUUCUUUGUUUAGUCCUUCUAGUAAUUCUAGCUGUGUUCCUUAGUUCCUAUUGUUUUUAGAUCAGCUUUGUUUCUGUUUGGUUCUUAGUUUUCCCUAUUGUCUUUGCCUUUUUGUAGUUUAUUAUGUUUUCAUUAGUCUUAAUGUUUCUUUAUUAUUUAUUAAACUACUUCCAGCUCCCUUAAGUUUCUUCCUUCACUCUUUUGUGUUCCCCUGUAUAGCUUGCCUAUACUACCUUCUCCGCUUGACUUCUGCUUCAACUACUCACACCUGCAAGCCAGCUCCUUUGUUCCACCUUCUAACUCCCAGUAUUUAAGCUCCUCUACUUCAGUCACAAGUUGUUAGUCUGUCUCGUCACUUCCAUUAUUACUCCUUAGUAUCGGACCCGCCUCCAAGGGGCCAGCAACGGGCUCUGGAGGAGCACUGGGAGGCAGAAGCUCGGGAGGAGCACUAGGAAUCUCAGGAGGAGCACUGGGAGGCAGACGUUUUUGUCGGGUCCUCAUCUCACUUAGCGUGUUGUUUUUGUCCUGUGUCGACUUCAGCUCUCCUAUCAGUCUUUUAGAUCAGUUGCUACCGGUGCUGAGCCUUAGUUUUCCGGUCUGCCGUGUUGCCUGUUUCUUGGACUGUUUUUGAGCUUGUGGACAUUAUUAAAAUCCUUGUUCAUCUCC
Poecilia reticulata (guppy) is the source of this 5375-nucleotide non-coding RNA. The record is from RefSeq and is a predicted model, not a curated record. NCBI's taxonomy places the organism in Eukaryota, Metazoa, Chordata, Actinopteri, Cyprinodontiformes, Poeciliidae.